This 398-nucleotide unclassified non-coding RNA is filed under the name uncultured Neonectria. RNAcentral describes it as "sequence contains ITS2". The stretch from base 1 to 154 matches the Rfam family "5.8S ribosomal RNA". The record is from RNAcentral. Lineage: Eukaryota; Fungi; Ascomycota; Sordariomycetes; Hypocreales; Nectriaceae.
AACUUUCGGCAAUGGAUCUCUUGGCUCUCGCAUCGAUGAAGAACGCAGCGAAAUGCGAUACGUAAUGUGAAUUGCAGAAUUCAGUGAACCAUCGAAUCUUUGAACGCACAUUGCGCCCGCCAGUACUCUGGCGGGCAUGCCUGUUCGAGCGUCAUUUCAACCCUCAAGCCCCCGGGCUUGGCGUUGGGGAUCGGCAUCCGGCGGCGGCCCCUCUCGGGACCACCGCCCGCCGUCCCCCAAAUCCAGUGGCGGUCACGUCGCGGCCUCCCAUGCGUAGUAGCAACACCUCGCACCGGAGCCCGUCGUGCCCACGCCGUAAAACCCCCGACUUUAUUUUAGUUGACCUCGAAUCAGGUAGGACUACCCGCUGAACUUAAGCAUAUCAAUAAGCGGAGGCU